AUUGAACGCUGGCGGCAGGCUUAACACAUGCAAGUCGAGCGGUAGCACAGGGGAGCUUGCUCCCUGGGUGACGAGCGGCGGACGGGUGAGUCAUGUCUGGGAAACUGUCUGAUGGAGGGGGAUAACUACUGGAAACGGUAGCUAAUACCGCAUAACGUCGCAAGCCCAAAGAGGGGGACCUUCGGGCCUCUUGCCAUCAGAUGUGCCCAGCUGGGCUUAGCUAGUAGGUGGGGUAAUGGCUCACCUAGUCGACGAUCCCUAGCUGGUCUGAGAGGAUGACCGGCCGCACUAGAGCUGAGACACGGUCCAGACUCCUACGGGAGGCAGCAGUGGGGAAUGUUGCGCAGUGGGCGCAAGCCUGAUGCAGCGAUGCCACGUGUGUGAAGGAGGCCUUCGGGUUGUAAAGCACUUUCAGCGGGGAGAAAGGUGGUGAACUUAAUACGUUCAUCAAUUGACGUUACUCGCAGAAGAAGCACCGGCUAACUACGUG
This 490-nucleotide ribosomal RNA is filed under the name uncultured bacterium. RNAcentral's name for it is "partial 16S ribosomal RNA". It matches the Rfam family "Bacterial small subunit ribosomal RNA", at positions 30 to 507 of the family's 1533-position model. The record is from RNAcentral.